GAUGAACGCUGGCGGCGUGCCUAAUACAUGCAAGUCGAGCGAACAGACGAGGAGCUUGCUCCUCUGACGUUAGCGGCGGAAGGGUGAGUAACACGUGGAUAACCUACCUAUAAGACUGGGAUAACUUCGGGAAACCGGAGCUAAUACCGGAUAAUAUAUUGAACCGCAUGGUUCAAUAGUGAAAGACGGUUUUGCUGUCACUUAUAGAUGGAUCCGCGCCGCAUUAGCUAGUUGGUAAGGUAACGGCUUACCAAGGCAACGAUGCGUAGCCGACCUGAGAGGGUGAUAGGCCACACUGGAACUGAGACACGGUCCAGACUCCUACGGGAGGCAGCAGUAGGGAAUCUUCCGCAAUGGGCGAAAGCCUGACGGAGCAACGCCGCGUGAGUGAUGAAGGUCUUCGGAUCGUAAAACUCUGUUAUUAGGGAAGAACAAAUGUGUAAGUAACUAUGCACGUCUUGACGGUACCUAAUCAGAAAGCCACGGCUAACUACGUG
Molecule: ribosomal RNA, 497 nt
Filed under: uncultured bacterium
Lineage: Bacteria
Description: partial 16S ribosomal RNA
Rfam family: Bacterial small subunit ribosomal RNA
Source: RNAcentral